GUCGACGGCAGCACGGACUUCGGUCUGGUGGCGAGUGGCGAACGGGUGAUAAUGUAUCGGAACGUAUCCUUAAGUGGGGGAUAACGCAUCGAAAGAUGCGCUAAUACCGCAUAAUCUCUGAGGAGAAAAGCAGGGGAUCGCAAGACCUUGCGCUUUUGGAGCGGCCGAUGUCUGAUUAGCUAGUUGGUGAGGUAAAGGCUUACCAAGGCUUCGAUCAGUAGCUGGUCUGAGAGGACGACCAGCCACACUGGGACUGAGACACGGCCCAGACUCCUACGGGAGGCAGCAGUGGGGAAUUUUGGACAAUGGGGGAAACCCUGAUCCAGCCAUGCCGCGUGAGUGAAGAAGGCCUUCGGGUUGUAAAGCUCUUUCAGCCGGAACGAAAAGGUUACGGUUAAUACCCGUGACUAAUGACGGUACCGGAAGAAGAAGCACCGGCUAACUACGUGCCAGCAGCCGCGGUAAUACGUAGGGUGCGAGCGUUAAUCGGAAUUACUGGGCGUAAAGCGUGCGCAGCGGUUUUGUAAGUCAGAUGUGAAAUCCCCGGCUCAACCUGGGAACUGCGUUUGAAACUACAGCUAGAGUGUGCAAGGGGGUGGAUUCCACGUGUA
RNAcentral lists this ribosomal RNA (611 nucleotides) under uncultured Nitrosospira sp. RNAcentral describes it as "bacterial SSU rRNA". It matches the Rfam family "Bacterial small subunit ribosomal RNA", at positions 61 to 677 of the family's 1533-position model. Lineage: Bacteria; Pseudomonadati; Pseudomonadota; Betaproteobacteria; Nitrosomonadales; Nitrosomonadaceae. The record is from RNAcentral.